Molecule: unclassified non-coding RNA, 241 nt
Filed under: uncultured fungus
Lineage: Eukaryota; Fungi
Description: partial contains 18S rRNA, ITS1, 5.8S rRNA, ITS2 and 28S rRNA
Source: RNAcentral
AAGGAUCAUUAUUGAAUGAAUCUAGAGUUGGUUGUCGCUGGCCCCCAAUUGGGGCAUGUGCACGCCUUCUCUCCUUCAUCCACACACACACACCUGUGCACUUGUGAGACGGAGGAUUUGAAAAAAAAAAAAAAGUCCUCCGUCUACUUAAUCACACACAAACUCAAUUGUACUUGAACUGAAUGUAAUUGAUGUAACACAUCAUUGGAACAAAGUUUCAACAACGGAUCUCUUGGCUCUC